RNAcentral lists this ribosomal RNA (468 nucleotides) under uncultured bacterium. RNAcentral's name for it is "partial 16S ribosomal RNA". It matches the Rfam family "Bacterial small subunit ribosomal RNA", at positions 28 to 507 of the family's 1533-position model. The record is from RNAcentral.
GACGAACGCUGGCGGCGUGCUUAACACAUGCAAGUCGAACGGAAAGGCCCUGCUUUUGUUGGGUGCUCGAGUGGCGAACGGGUGAGUAACACGUGAGUAACCUGCCCUUGACUUUGGGAUAACUUCAGGAAACUGGGGCUAAUACCGGAUAGGAGCUCCUGCUGCAUGGUGGGGGUUGGAAAGUGUCGGCGGUUGGGGAUGGACUCGCGGCUUAUCAGCUUGUUGGUGGGGUAGUGGCUUACCAAGGCUUUGACGGGUAGCCGGCCUGAGAGGGUGACCGGCCACAUUGGGACUGAGAUACGGCCCAGACUCCUACGGGCGGCAGCAGUGGGGAAUAUUGCACAAUGGGCGGAAGCCUGAUGCAGCAACGCCGCGUGCGGGAUGACGGCCUUCGGGUUGUAAACCGCUUUCGCCUGUGACGAAGCGUGAGUGACGGUAAUGGGUAAAGAAGCACCGGCUAACUACGUG